AGAGUUUGAUUCUGGCUCAGGAUGAACGCUGGCGGCGUGCUUAACACAUGCAAGUCGAACGAGGAUUGUCGGUGAAGUUUUCGGACGGAAACUGGCAAUACCGAGUGGCGGACGGGUGAGUAACGCGUGGGGAACCUGCCCCAUUCCGGGGGAUACCAGUUGGAAACGACUGUUAAUACCGCAUAAGCGCACGGCAUCGCAUGAUGCAGUGUAGAAAAACUGAGGUGGAAUGGGAUCGGCCCCGCGUCUGAUUAGCCAGUUGGCAGGGUAACGGCCUACCAAAGCGACGAUCAGUAGCCGGCCUGAGAGGCGACCGGCCACAUUGGGACUGAGACACGGACCCAAACUCCUACGGGAGGCAGCAGGUGGGGAAUAUUGCACAAUGGGGGAAACCCUGAUGCAGCGAACCGCCGCGUGAGUGAAGAAGUAUUUCGGUAUGUAAAGCUCUAUCAGCAGGGAAGAAGAUGACGGUACCUGCACAAGAAGCCCCGGCUAACUACGUGCCAGCAGCAGC
This 514-nucleotide ribosomal RNA is filed under the name uncultured bacterium. RNAcentral's name for it is "bacterial SSU rRNA". It matches the Rfam family "Bacterial small subunit ribosomal RNA", at positions 8 to 518 of the family's 1533-position model. The record is from RNAcentral.